AUACGUAGGGUGAGAGCGUUGUCCGGAAUUACUGGGCGUAAAGAGCUCGUAGGUGGUUUGUCGCGUCGUCUGUGACAUUCCGGGGCUUAACUCCGGGCGUGCAGGCGAUACGGGCAUAACUUGAGUACUGUAGGGGGGACUGGAAUUACUGGCGUAGCGGGGCAAUGCGCAGAUAUCAGGAGGAACACCGGUGGCGAAGGCGGGUCUCUGGGCAGUAACUGACGCUGAGGAGCGAAAGCAUGGGUAGCGAACAGGAUUAGAUACCCUGGUAGUCCAUGCCGUAAGCGGUGGGCGCUAGGUGUAGGGGUCUUCCACGACUUCUGUGCCGUAGCUAACGCAUUAAGCGCCCCGCCUGGGGAGUACGGCCGCAAGGCUAAAACUCAAAUGAAUUGACGGGG
RNAcentral lists this ribosomal RNA (398 nucleotides) under uncultured bacterium. RNAcentral's name for it is "partial 16S ribosomal RNA". It matches the Rfam family "Bacterial small subunit ribosomal RNA", at positions 523 to 918 of the family's 1533-position model. The record is from RNAcentral.